CAGGGAUUGCCCUAGUAACGGCGAGUGAAGCGGCAACAGCUCAAAUUUGAAAUCUGGCUCUUUUAGAGUCCGAGUUGUAAUUUGCAGAGGGCGCUUUGGCUUUGGCAGCGGUCCAAGUUCCUUGGAACAGGACGUCACAGAGGGUGAGAAUCCCGUACGUGGUCGCUAGCUAUUGCCGUGUAAAGCCCCUUCGACGAGUCGAGUUGUUUGGGAAUGCAGCUCUAAAUGGGAGGUAAAUUUCUUCUAAAGCUAAAUACUGGCCAGAGACCGAUAGCGCACAAGUAGAGUGAUCGAAAGAUGAAAAGCACUUUGGAAAGAGAGUCAAACAGCACGUGAAAUUGUUGAAAGGGAAGCGCUUGCAGCCAGACUUGCUUGCAGUUGCUCAUCCGGGCUCUUUUGCCCGGUGCAUUCUUCUGCAGGCAGGCCAGCAUCAGUUUGGGCGGUGGGAUAAAGGUCUCUGUCACGUACCUCUCUUCGGGGAGGCCUUAUAGGGGAGACGACAUACCACCAGCCUGGACUGAGGUCCGCGCAUUUAUGCUAGGAUGCUGGCGUAAUGGCUGUAAGCGGCCCGUCUUGAAACACGGACCAAGGAGUCUAACAUCUAUGCGAGUGUUUGGGUGUCAAGCCCGAACGCGUAAUGAAAGUGAACGGAGGUGGGAACCCGCAAGGGUGCACCAUCGACCGAUCCUGAUGUCUUCGGAAGGAUUUGAGUAAGAGCAUGGCUGUUGGGACCCGAAAGAUGGUGAACUAUGCUUGAAUAGGGUGAAGCCAGAGGAAACUCUGGUGGAGGCUCGCAGCGGUUCUGACGUGCAAAUCGAUCGUCAAAUUUGGGCAUAGGGGCGAAAGACUAAU
This 852-nucleotide ribosomal RNA is filed under the name Pyrenophora teres. Its description in RNAcentral is "partial large subunit ribosomal RNA". It matches the Rfam family "Eukaryotic large subunit ribosomal RNA", at positions 69 to 935 of the family's 3401-position model. Lineage: Eukaryota; Fungi; Ascomycota; Dothideomycetes; Pleosporales; Pleosporaceae. The record is from RNAcentral.